UUCGCAAUGCCCGAAAGGGUGACGAAGCGACGCCGCGUGUGGGAAGAAGGCCUUCGGGUUGUAAACCACUGUCGGGAGUUAAGAAAUGCAAGGAUAUUAAUAGUGUCUUUGUUUGACUAAGGCUCCGGAGGAAGCCACGGCUAACUCUGUGCCAGCAGCCGCGGUAAUACAGAGGCGGCAAGCGUUGUUCGGAAUUAUUGGGCGUAAAGAGCACGUAGGCGGCUAUGUAAGUCGGUUGUGAAAGCCUUCCGCUCAACGGAAGAACAGCAUCCGAUACUACAUGGCUUGAGUGCGGGAGGGGAGAGUGGAACUUCUGGUGGAGCGGUGAAAUGCGUAGAUACCAGAAGGAACACCGGCGGCGAAGGCGACUCUCUGGUCCAUAACUGACGCUGAGUGUGCGAAAGCUAGGGGAGCAAACGGGAUUAGAUACCCCGGUAGUCCUAGCCGUAAACGAUGGGCACUAAGUAGAGGGGUUUU
This 477-nucleotide ribosomal RNA is filed under the name uncultured bacterium. RNAcentral's name for it is "bacterial SSU rRNA". It matches the Rfam family "Bacterial small subunit ribosomal RNA", at positions 365 to 832 of the family's 1533-position model. The record is from RNAcentral.